Molecule: long non-coding RNA, 308 nt
Organism: Capsicum annuum
Lineage: Eukaryota; Viridiplantae; Streptophyta; Magnoliopsida; Solanales; Solanaceae
Exons: 2
Source: RefSeq, a predicted model, not a curated record
GAAUUUCACAAAGAUUUUAGCAGUGACAAUUUUUCUUAUUAUGAUUUUUGUAGCAAAUAGUAAUGUAAGUGGUAAGGUGAACUUGGCUUGUCCAUUAAAAUGUGCAACAUCAUGUUUCACCAAUCCUGUUUGCUUAGCACUUUGCUUGAAGGAUUGUUUUUGUUGUAAAUCAUUCUAUUGUAAGAUUGCUUGUGUAAAGAAAAGUUGCUCCGAAUUUAAAGACGAUGAUGAGCUAAUGACUCAAUGCUGGGAUGAAUGUUCAACUAAGUGCUAAUUAGAAAGGCAUGUGCUACUAUACUAUUUGUUAG